GGGAUUGCCUCGGUAACGGCGAGUGAAGCGGCAACAGCUCAAAUUUGAAAUCUGGCCCCUUUGGGGUCCGAGUUGUAAUUUGUAGAGAGUGUUUCGGGUGAGACCACGGUCUAAGUCCAUUGGAACAUGGCGUCAUAGAGGGUGAGAAUCCCGUAUGUGACUGUGGCUCGAACCCAUGUGAAGCCUCUUCGACGAGUCGAGUUGUUUGGGAAUGCAGCUCAAAAUGGGUGGUAAAUUUCAUCUAAAGCUAAAUACUGGCUGGAGACCGAUAGCGCACAAGUAGAGUGAUCGAAAGAUGAAAAGCACUUUGGAAAGAGAGUCAAACAGUACGUGAAAUUGUUGAAAGGGAAGCGCUUGCAACCAGACCUGUCCGUAGGUGAUCAGCCGCUGUUCUCAGUGGUGCACUCGCUCUGCGAUCAGGCCAGCAUCGGUUUCGGCGGCCGGAUAAAGGCCUUGGGAAUGUAGCUUCCUUUUGGGGGAGUCUUAUAGCCCUCGGUGCAAUGCGGCCAGCCGGGACCGAGGACCGCGCUUCGGCUAGGAUGCUGGCGUAAUGGUUGUAA
RNAcentral lists this ribosomal RNA (560 nucleotides) under Montanelia sorediata. RNAcentral's name for it is "eukaryotic LSU rRNA". It matches the Rfam family "Eukaryotic large subunit ribosomal RNA", at positions 71 to 643 of the family's 3401-position model. The record is from RNAcentral. Lineage: Eukaryota; Fungi; Ascomycota; Lecanoromycetes; Lecanorales; Parmeliaceae.